CCAAGUAUUCAUAGCGAUUAAGACAGUGCAGAAAUUAUGGAUGAACUCGUAACUUUUUUUCCUGGAAAUGUGUAUUACGUUCUUCUAGAACCGUUUGUCUGCAGUUUGGGAUAGGUCUAGGUGAGGCGAGCGAGAGAUUCGAGCAACCGAUAAGAAGAUGGUUGAACGAUUAAAAAUUAUCUUUCUCUUUACACGACGAUAUCUCGAGAAGCGGAAGUCGUAUCGAGAUAAAUUAAAAAGCGUUUUAAAGAGCAAGGUUUCGCGCUUCUAAUGAUCUUUCAUUCGUUGAUUUGAAGUCAUUAUCUUCGAAGUUAUAACGGUUUAAAGUUUUCUUAAUUUUAAUCGAAUUUAAUAGUGUUUC
This is a long non-coding RNA of Apis florea (little honeybee), 361 nucleotides long. Lineage: Eukaryota; Metazoa; Arthropoda; Insecta; Hymenoptera; Apidae. The record is from RefSeq and is a predicted model, not a curated record.